AGGGCGUUUGGUGAAUGCCUUGGCAGUAAGAGGCGAUGAAGGACGUGAUACUCUGCGAUAAGUUAUGGGGAGCUGAGAAUAAGCUUUGAUCCAUAAAUUUCCGAAUGGGGCAACCCACCUGAUACUUUGUUAUUAAUACUACUUAUUGUAGUGCCGUUUAAGGGUUCGCCCUUAGUCUGCGUUGCAUGCGGUGGGGCAUAAUAAUAGGGUAAACCAGGUAUUUAUAACUUGAAUACAUAGGGUUAUAAAAGCAAACCCGGGGAACUGAAACAUCUAAGUACCCGGAGGAAAGGACAUCAAUUAGAUACUCCCCUAGUAGCGGCGAGCGAACGGGGACCAGCCGAGCCAUGAGUGUGACUAGAAUGUGUUGGAAAGCACAACCAAAGUGGGUGACAGUCCCGUAUAGGAAGCAUGAUUGGACGUAUUAAGUAGGGCGGGACACGUGAAAUCCUGUCUGAAUAUCGGAGGACCACCUUCGAAGGCUAAGUACUCCUUACUGACCGAUAGUGAACCAGUACCGUGAGGGAAAGGUGAAAAGCACCCCGACGAGGGGAGUGAAACAGCUCCUGAAACCGAACGCCUACAAACAGUUGGAGGGACCUUGAGUCCUGACAGCGUACCUUUUGUAUAAUGGGUCAUCGACUUGGUCUAUCUAGCAAGCUUAAGCCGUUAGGUGUAGGCGCAGCGAAAGCGAGUCUUAAUAGGGCGAAUGAGUUAGAUGGAUCAGACCCGAAACCGAGUGAUCUAGGCAUGACCAGGUUGAAGGUAAGGUAACACUUACUGGAGGACCGAACCCACACCUGUUGAAAAAGGUCGGGAUGAGUUGUGCCUAGGGGUGAAAGGCCAAUCAAACUCGGAGAUAGCUGGUUCUCCGCGAAAUCUAUUUAGGUAGAGCGUCAGCCGAAUACCCCGGGGGGUAGAGCACUGAAUGGGUAAUGGGGACUCACCGUCUUACUGAUCCUAAUCAAACUCCGAAUACCCAAGAGUAAUAUGCGGCAGACACACUGCGGAUGCUAACGUCCGUAGUGGAGAGGGAAACAACCCUGACCCUCAGCUAAGGCCCCUAAUUCAUGGCUAAGUGGGAAAGCAGGUGGGACGACCAAAACAACCAGGAAGUUGGCUUAGAAGCAGCCAUCUUUUAAAGAUAGCGUAACAGCUCACUGGUCUAAUUAAGUUGUCCUGCGGCGAAGAUGUAACGGGGCUCAAGCCAUGAGCCGAAACUUCGGAUGCAUUUAAUGCAUGGUAGCGGAGCGUAGUGUGACAUAGUUCCAUGCGUCCUUCGUUUUAUAGCGGACUGCCCAGGCUUUCGAGCCUGUGUGGAGGCGCGUAAAAUACUGGACGCAAGGAGCUUUCUGUGAAGCCGGCCUGUGAGGGAUCCGGUGGAGAGAUCACUAGUGAGAAUGAUGACAUGAGUAACGACAAAGGGGGUGAGAGACCCCCUCGCCGAAAAUCCAAGGGUUCCUGCUUAAAGCUAAUCUGAGCAGGGUAAGCCGGCCCCUAAGCCGAGGGCGAAAGCCGUAGGCGAUGGGAACCAGGUUAAUAUUCCUGGGCCAGGAGGAAGUGACGGAUCAUGAAGAUUGUUGGAUCAGGCGUAGUUGCCCCAGCAGUUAAUUGGUUCCUGGAAAUAGCCCUCCAUCAGACCGUACCCUAAACCGACACAGGUGGAUAGGUAGAGUAUACCAAGGCGCUUGAGAGAACUAUGUUGAAGGAACUCGGCAAAAUACCUCCGUAAGUUCGCGAGAAGGAGGCCCGGUUCCAAGGCAACUUGGAGCUGGGGGCACAAACCAGGGGGUGGCGACUGUUUACUAAAAACACAGGGCUCUGCGAAGUCGCAAGACGACGUAUAGGGUCUGACGCCUGCCCGGUGCCUGAAGGUUAAAAGGAGGGGUGAGAGCUCCGAAUUGAAGCCCAGGUAAACGGCGGCCGUAACUAUAACGGUCCUAAGGUAGCGAAAUUCCUUGUCGGGUAAGUUCCGACCUGCACGAAUGGCGUAACGACUUCCCCGCUGUCUCCAACAUAGACUCAGUGAAAUUGAAUUGCCUGUCAAGAUGCAGGCUUCCCGCGGUUAGACGGAAAGACCCCGUGCACCUUUACUACAACUUUACACUGAUAACAGGCACAACAUGUGCAGAAUAGGUGGUAGGCUUUGAAGCAGAAACGCCAGUUUUUGUGGAGCCUCCUUUGAGAUACCACCCUUGUUUUGCUUGUUAUCUAACUGCGGUCCGUUAUCCGGAUCCAGGACCCUGUAUGGUGGGUAGUUUGACUGGGGCGGUCGCCUCCUAAAGCGUAACGGAGGCGCGCGAAGGUUGGCUCAGAGCGGUCGGAAAUCGCUCGUUGA
RNAcentral lists this ribosomal RNA (2338 nucleotides) under marine metagenome. RNAcentral describes it as "bacterial LSU rRNA". It matches the Rfam family "Bacterial large subunit ribosomal RNA", at positions 14 to 2348 of the family's 2925-position model. The record is from RNAcentral.